GAGUUUGAUCCUGGCUCAGGACGAACGCUGGCGGCGUGCCUAAUACAUGCAAGUCGAACGAACUCUGGUAUUGAUUGGUGCUUGCAUCAUGAUUUACAUUUGAGUGAGUGGCGAACUGGUGAGUAACACGUGGGAAACCUGCCCAGAAGCGGGGGAUAACACCUGGAAACAGAUGCUAAUACCGCAUAACAACUUGGACCGCAUGGUCCGAGCUUGAAAGAUGGCUUCGGCUAUCACUUUUGGAUGGUCCCGCGGCGUAUUAGCUAGAUGGUGGGGUAACGGCUCACCAUGGCAAUGAUACGUAGCCGACCUGAGAGGGUAAUCGGCCACAUUGGGACUGAGACACGGCCCAAACUCCUACGGGAGGCAGCAGUAGGGAAUCUUCCACAAUGGACGAAAGUCUGAUGGAGCAACGCCGCGUGAGUGAAGAAGGGUUUCGGCUCGUAAAACUCUGUUGUUAAAGAAGAACAUAUCUGAGAGUAACUGUUCAGGUAUUGACAGUAUUUAACCAGAAAGCCACGGCUAACUACGUGCCAGCAGCCGCGGUAAUACGUAGGUGGCAAGCGUUGUCCGGAUUUAUUGGGCGUAAAGCGAGCGCAGGCGGUUUUUUAAGUCUGAUGUGAAAGCCUUCGGCUCAACCGAAGAAGUGCAUCGGAAACUGGGAAACUUGAGUGCAGAAGAGGACAGUGGAACUCCAUGUGUAGCGGUGAAAUGCGUAGAUAUAUGGAAGAACACCAGUGGCGAAGGCGGCUGUCUGGUCUGUAACUGACGCUGAGGCUCGAAAGUAUGGGUAGCAAACAGGAUUAGAUUCCCUGGUAGUCCAUACCGUAAACGAUGAAUGCUAAGUGUUGGAGGGUUUCCGCCCUUCAGUGCUGCAGCUAACGCAUUAAGCAUUCCGCCUGGGGAGUACGGCCGCAAGGCUGAAACUCAAAGGAAUUGACGGGGGCCCGCACAAGCGGUGGAGCAUGUGGUUUAAUUCGAAGCUACGCGAAGAACCUUACCAGGUCUUGACAUACUAUGCAAAUCUAAGAGAUUAGACGUUCCCUUCGGGGACAUGGAUACAGGUGGUGCAUGGUUGUCGUCAGCUCGUGUCGUGAGAUGUUGGGUUAAGUCCCGCAACGAGCGCAACCCUUAUUAUCAGUUGCCAGCAUUAAGUUGGGCACUCUGGUGAGACUGCCGGUGACAAACCGGAGGAAGGUGGGGAUGACGUCAAAUCAUCAUGCCCCUUAUGACCUGGGCUACACACGUGCUACAAUGGAUGGUACAACGAGUUGCGAACUCGCGAGAGUAAGCUAAUCUCUUAAAGCCAUUCUCAGUUCGGAUUGUAGGCUGCAACUCGCCUACAUAAAGUCGGAAUCGCUAGUAAUCGCGGAUCAGCAUGCCGCGGUGAAUACGUUCCCGGGCCUUGUACACACCGCCCGUCACACCAUGAGAGUUUGUAACACCCAAAGUCGGUGGGGUAACCUUUUAGGAACCAGCCGCCUAAGGUGGGACAGAUGAUUAGGGUGAAGUCGUAACAAGGUAGCCGUAG
Molecule: ribosomal RNA, 1531 nt
Filed under: Lactiplantibacillus argentoratensis
Lineage: Bacteria; Bacillati; Bacillota; Bacilli; Lactobacillales; Lactobacillaceae
Description: partial 16S ribosomal RNA
Rfam family: Bacterial small subunit ribosomal RNA
Source: RNAcentral